GACGAACGCUGGCGGCGUGCCUAACACAUGCAAGUCAACUUGACUGAAGGAGCAAUCUGACAGUAGAGUGGCGCAAGGGUGCGUAACGCGUAAGUAACUUGCCCAAGGUAAGGAAUAACGUCGAGAAAUCGGCGCUAAUACCUCAUAAUGCAGCGGAUCCGCAUGGAUAUGUUGUUAAAGGUUUACCGCCUUGGGAUAGGCUUGCGUCUGAUUAGCUAGUUGGUGUGGUAACGGCACACCAAGGCUACGAUCAGUAACUGGUCUGAGAGGAUGAUCAGUCACACUGGAACUGAGACACGGUCCAGACUCCUACGGGAGGCAGCAGUGAGGAAUAUUGGGCAAUGCUCGAAAGAGUGACCCAGCAACGCCGCGUGGAGGAUGAAGGUAUUCUAUAUCGUAAACUCCUGUGAGAGCAGACAAAGACAGAUUAUUAAUCUGGAUGACUGUAUGCUCAGGGAAG
Molecule: ribosomal RNA, 460 nt
Filed under: uncultured bacterium
Lineage: Bacteria
Description: bacterial SSU rRNA
Rfam family: Bacterial small subunit ribosomal RNA
Source: RNAcentral